UACGUAGGGGGCUAGCGUUGUCCGGAUUUAUUGGGCGUAAAGAGCGUGUAGGCGGCCAGGUAGGUCUGCUGUGAAAACUCGAGGCUUAACCUCGAGACGUCGAUGGAAACCGUAUGGCUAGAGUCCGGAAGAGGAGAGUGGAAUUCCAGGUGUAGCGGUGAAAUGCGUAGAUAUCUGGAGGAACACCGGUGGCGAAGGCGGCAUUCUGGACCGAAACUGACGCUGAGGCGCGAAAGCUAGGGGAGCAAACGGGG
This 254-nucleotide ribosomal RNA is filed under the name uncultured bacterium. RNAcentral describes it as "partial 16S ribosomal RNA". It matches the Rfam family "Bacterial small subunit ribosomal RNA", at positions 524 to 777 of the family's 1533-position model. The record is from RNAcentral.